AGCGAACGCUGGCGGCAGGCUUAACACAUGCAAGUCGAGCGGGCGUAGCAAUACGUCAGCGGCAGACGGGUGAGUAACGCGUGGGAACAUACCUCUUGGUUCGGAACAACACAGGGAAACUUGUGCUAAUACCGGAUAAGCCCUUACGGGGAAAGAUUUAUCGCCGAGAGAUUGGCCCGCGUCUGAUUAGCUAGUUGGUGAGGUAACGGCCCACCAAGGCGACGAUCAGUAGCUGGUCUGAGAGGAUGAUCAGCCACAUUGGGACUGAGACACGGCCCAAACUCCUACGGGAGGCAGCAGUGGGGAAUAUUGGACAAUGGGCGCAAGCCUGAUCCAGCCAUGCCGCGUGAGUGAUGAAGGCCCUAGGGUUGUAAAGCUCUUUUGUGCGGGAAGAUAAUGACGGUACCGCAAGAAUAAGCCCCGGCUAACUUCGUGCCAGCAGCCGCAGUAAG
RNAcentral lists this ribosomal RNA (452 nucleotides) under uncultured bacterium. RNAcentral describes it as "bacterial SSU rRNA". It matches the Rfam family "Bacterial small subunit ribosomal RNA", at positions 29 to 524 of the family's 1533-position model. The record is from RNAcentral.